AAGCUGCAUGAGUGUCUCAGGAUGAGCCAAACUAGGCAAACAAGGCAGUGCAAUCCUUCUCACUGACUCACUGGCUCAAAAUGUCUCAUAUGUACAGUAGUUCUGUUUUGUGAUGAUUCAAACAACAUUGUUGAAUUCUAAAUACGUGUCUAAAAUAUGUGAGAACAAAAUCUUUGAUAAUGAUCCGAUUAAAAGUGAAGAAGGAAGGAAUGCGUCUGACAAGUUUAUUCCAUGUAGUAGUAAUAUAUAUAUUAAGUUAGCCCUACUUUAAGUACGAUUUAUUUGUAGCGAUUUAUUCACGUAGUUUUACUCGGUAUGGCCCAGUGGUUUUCUUUUUCGGCCCACUUGUUAAGGAGGUUGAAUAGCCCAUUGUAUGCAAUGUAUUUUUUGAACUUCUGUAUUUCAGUGACGUGUGCAAUGGAAGGGGGGGGGGGGGGGGGGGGACUGGGGGAAUUUCAGACAUUUGUCAUGAAAUUUCCCUCUGUCAUCCUGCUCUGUAAAACUUAGGGUUUAAGUGAACCAGGUAGUAAACAUUCAGCUUGCUCUGUUAAACAUGGGGUGAGUUUGAGUGAACCAGGUAGUAAAUAUUCAGCCUGCUUUACAUGGGGUUUGAUUGAACCAGUUAGUAAACAUUCAGCCUGCCCUGUUAAACAGCGGUUUACAUGAACCAGGUUGUAAACAUUCAGCCUGCUAUGUUAAACAUGGGGGUUAAGUGAACCAGGUAGUAAAAAUUUAGCCUGCUCUGUUAAUCUUGGGGUUUAAGUGAACCGGGUAGUAAACAUUCAGCCUGCUAUGUAAGUGAACCAGGUAGUAAACAUUCAGCCUGCUCUAAUAAACAUGGGAUUUUAUCGAACCAGGCAGUAAACAUUCAGCCUGCUCUGUUAAACAUGGGGUUAACAUGAAACAGGUAGUAAACAUUCAGCUUGCUCUGUUAAACAUGAGGUUUAAGUGAACCAGGUAGUAAACAUUCAGCCUGCUCUGGUAAACAUGGGUUUUAAGUGAACCAGGUAGUAAACAUUCAGCCUGCUCUAGUAAACAUGGGUUUUAAGUGAAUAAGGUAGUAAACAUUCAGCCUGAAGGUUUAAA
Gadus macrocephalus (Pacific cod) is the source of this 1086-nucleotide long non-coding RNA. RefSeq lists it as uncharacterized. The record is from RefSeq and is a predicted model, not a curated record. The transcript is spliced from 2 exons. NCBI's taxonomy places the organism in Eukaryota, Metazoa, Chordata, Actinopteri, Gadiformes, Gadidae.